UACGUAGGGGGCGAGCGUUGUCCGGAUUUAUUGGGCGUAAAGCGCCCGCAGGCGGCUUGCCAAGUUCGAUGUGAAAUCUCCCGGCUCAACUGGGAGGGUGCAUCGAAAACUGGCAGGCUUGAGGCAGGGAGAGGGAUGUGGAAUUCCAGGUGUAGUGGUGAAAUGCGUAGAUAUCUGGAGGAACCCCCGUGGCGAAGGCGGCAUCCCGGCCCUGUCCUGACGCUCAGGGGCGAAAGCGUGGGGAGCAAACCGG
This 253-nucleotide ribosomal RNA is filed under the name uncultured bacterium. RNAcentral describes it as "partial 16S ribosomal RNA". It matches the Rfam family "Bacterial small subunit ribosomal RNA", at positions 524 to 776 of the family's 1533-position model. The record is from RNAcentral.